UGAGCACCAGAGCCUGCAGGAUAUCAGACAGCGACACGAUGCCCUUGACGACGUCGUUCUCAUCCACCACUACCAGACGGUGAACCUGGCACAGAACAACGAGAAGUAAUGUGAGUGCCAGCUUCGGUCAGGACCCUGUGGUGGCCAAAAGAGGGCAUCAGAUCCCCUGGAACUGGAAUUACAGACAAGACAGUGACUGAAGGUGGAUGGUGGAUGGAGAGACUCAAUCUACCGUGUUAACUGGAAGACUUCCCUUGUUUUUGAAACAUGGAAACACAACUCACACAAACCAGGACACAACUUUAGAUACCAGAUGAAGAUUCGCUACACAGAGUUAAUGCUAUCAUUUUAAGUCAGAAGCCUACACACAUAUUGAAUUUGGAUUUCCCAGUUUUAAAAAUAAUUUAAAUCACUUUCCAAAUUUAUAUAAAAGUCUCAAUUCUCAGUUUCUUUAUAAAAAUGAGAUUUGGCAAAAAUAGGCCUUAAUUGAGCAGAAAUAGAUAGUUGCUGUCUCCUUUUAAGUGGGACACAAGAAUUAUAAGCUGUUACUUGUCAUAUUUAGUCCACCUCAUCUGCUUUGUCCACUACUGAGUUCCUGCCACCUACCUUGGAGCUACAUAGAUGCACUCAGAAGCAUACAGUAGGCACUGAUAUCAUGUGCGGUAUUCAAUUCUGGAAAGUCAUCUAGACAAUGUAACAUAUAGUAACACUGAUUUGUUUUGGUUUUUGUUUUUCAAGACAGGGUGUGGUAGUUUAAGUAAGAACGGCCCCCACUGAAUCAUUGAAUGCUUAGGGAGUGGCAUUAGGAAAUGUGGCCUUGUUGGAGGAACUAUGUCACUGGGGGGUAGGCUUGGGGGUUUCAAAACACCAAGUCAGGCCCAGUGGCUCACUCUCUUCCCAAUGCCUGCCAAUCUAGAUGUAGAAUCUCAGCUACCUCUCCAGCACCAUGUCUGCCUGCAUGCCACCAUGCUGCCCACCAUGAAGACAAUGGACUAAACCUCUGAACUGUAAGCUAACCCCAAUUAAAUGUUUUCCUUUAUAAGA
Molecule: long non-coding RNA, 1044 nt
Organism: Mesocricetus auratus (golden hamster)
Lineage: Eukaryota; Metazoa; Chordata; Mammalia; Rodentia; Cricetidae
Exons: 3
Source: RefSeq, a predicted model, not a curated record